UAGGGAAUCUUCGGCAAUGGGGGCAACCCUGACCGAGCAACGCCGCGUGAGUGAAGAAGGUUUUCGGAUCGUAAAGCUCUGUUGUAAGAGAAGAACGUGUGUGAGAGUGGAAAGUUCACACAGUGACGGUAACUUACCAGAAAGGGACGGCUAACUACGUGCCAGCAGCCGCGGUAAUACGUAGGUCCCGAGCGUUGUCCGGAUUUAUUGGGCGUAAAUCGAGCGCAGGCGGUUUAAUAAGUCUGAAGUUAAAGGCAGUGGCUUAACCAUUGUUCGCUUUGGAAACUGUUAAACUUUAGUGAGGAAGAGGAGAGUGGAAUUCCAUGUGUAGCGGUGAAAUGCGUAGAUAUAUGGAGGAACACAGGUGGCGAAAGCGGCUCUCUGGUCUGUAACUGACGCUGGGGCUCGAAAGCGUGAGGAGCAAACAGG
RNAcentral lists this ribosomal RNA (429 nucleotides) under bacterium. RNAcentral describes it as "partial 16S ribosomal RNA". It matches the Rfam family "Bacterial small subunit ribosomal RNA", at positions 355 to 776 of the family's 1533-position model. The record is from RNAcentral.